This 384-nucleotide long non-coding RNA is filed under the name Erythranthe guttata (spotted monkey flower). RNAcentral's name for it is "long non-coding RNA (EGUT_LNC002831)". The record is from RNAcentral. Lineage: Eukaryota; Viridiplantae; Streptophyta; Magnoliopsida; Lamiales; Phrymaceae.
GUUUGUUUGUUGCAUUCACCACAUACUUUCUGGUCCACUAUAUUUAUAUAUAUAGAGAGGUAACAUAGCUAUUCAUUAGGAAAUGAUGUCGUGUACGUGAAAUUUGAAAACUAAUUUGUGUGUUCGUUUAUUUAUUAUAUUUUCUUUAUUUAAUUCUUAUAUUUGCUGAUUUAUUAUUAGACUAUAAAUAAGUGUUCUUGCUAGUUGUGGUUUCAAGCAAUCAUGGAAAAGAGGAUUGUUUUCUCGGUUAUUGUGAUUCUUUGUUUGGGGUUUUAUGGUUAUGUAGCGGUUGAAGCGGCGAGGGAAGGGAGGUUUUUGUACGGUGGUGCUGAUGAGGGUUUAACCGUCGGUGGGUAUGGUAAAGAUAAGGGUUUUGUGCCUGGA